Molecule: long non-coding RNA, 2234 nt
Filed under: Helianthus annuus (common sunflower)
Lineage: Eukaryota; Viridiplantae; Streptophyta; Magnoliopsida; Asterales; Asteraceae
Description: hypothetical non coding rna
Source: RNAcentral
UUUGCUGGAUAUCAACCAUACAAUACAACAGACCGUUUAUGUCUACAAUUCAUUGCUUACUAGACCUAUUCCGAGUCAACUCAACCGGGUAAACUAAACUCAACAUGAGCACAAGGAGCCACUAGUCCUUCACAUCAACACCGGUUUUGUGAUCACCAUCCUCAUCAUCUACAGGCCCACAUUCCGAAUUCGAGCUAGCAUCCAAGUCCUUCUCCGGCGAGUCAAGCUGCACACACUCAGCAACCGAGUGAGACGGUGAGUUGUAUUCCGAGUCAUGGCUUCUGUUAGACGGUGUCACGUCUCCUUUCCUCACCACAUUAAACACAAUCCCGUUAUGUAUCCUCUCCGGCUGAAGAAGAUCGCCUGCAGCCACCGUGAUGCUACCACUACUACUACUGGUAUGGACCCGGUUGUUAGGGGUGUUUUCCCGUUGAUCGGCUUCGGGAUCCGAACUUCUCUCAGGCGGUACCACACGCAAGUUUUGGAAACUCCUGAGCGCCUUGUUCAUUUUCGAGUCCGUAUCUAGGUUCUGAACGAACUCGACGAACUGAUCCGCAGAAGUCGUUCUCAUCAACGGCCCACCAGAUCUCGUCCACGUAUUCAACUCCGCACUCUCUGACUCGCUAUCGCUCCCGUCGUGUAUGCGGUGGUGCCGCCAGUUACGACCGCCGUAGUGGAGGGUGGCGUCUGCUAGAUCUUCUUCUAGAGAUCCUGUUGAAUUCUCUCGUGCUAUACAGUUCCACGACGGUAUUCGUUUCGAUGCGUUAAACCGGACACUGUUUGAUCCACCGUGAGAAGCCGCAGCCGCGCGUUCGGCGCUUCGUUUCAACCUACGCAUGUGGUUUAGAAUCGCGACACACUCGUCAAGCGCGAGCUCGAUCCCGCAAUUGGCUUUUAUGGCAGAAAGCUUCUCCCAUGUGCAUCUUCGGCCUUGAUUGGCGGCUUUUUGAAGCUCCAAAUGAGACGGAUUUUGUAUGAUCUUCGAGUACUGGCAUAACGACGGUAACAUCGCCCUCCCAAUCUUGAGCAAAUAGCUUUGCAAGUCCUCCUAACGGAAAACCGAGUUCCAGAACUUGAUUGCAUCGGUGUUUCACUUCCAUUUCGACAAGAUGUGCAAGCUACAACAAGAUCAUAUAAUAUUUAAAAAAAAAAGAAAAUAUAAAAAAGCACAAAUUUUAACAGUAUAGAUUUGCAGGAAUGUACCUUUGCGGCAAAAUUGCCCCCGUAAGCUCUCACGAACUCUUUAAACCGGAGUAAAGGCGCGAUAUGUGGAUUUGCUUGACUAACGAUAAAAUGAUUUACAUUAAAAAGCUCUUUCAACUGAAUCAUGGGCAAAUCAAUCUCCAAACUACCGUCCCUCCAACGCCUGACAGACGUGCCAGUAGCUUCCUCGGGGCCCCAAUGAAAAGGCGGGUGAUACGGUACAAUUUCACCGCUUCUAUCCUUUGCCAUAAGUUCUUGAGCUUCAAAAAGGCCAGGGAACGCACAAGAAGCGGUAACCGCGCUCCAUAUAACCACGUGAGGUGAAGUCAAGUAGUUUAAACAUCUUGGCGGCUCGUGUUUUCUUGGGGAACAUACGGUUAUACCAAGAACACGGCCCGUCAUAUCGUAAGCUUCUUGAAACGUAAGAUUAUUUGUUAAGUUUCGUAACAGAACUUGUAAAUGUCUAAUGUCGUGAAGCGCUCCUUGCGUCAUAACCCUUUUGAAAACAUUGAAAAUUCCCCCAUUUGAUCGAAGAAUUGCAACGAAUACCACGAAUCCUCGAAGAAACUUUGAAGUUCGGGCCAUGAUCUGGUAGCGACAACCGAACACAUUAUGGACCCCACGCUCGACCCCGCGAUUAUUCUAGGCAAAAGUUUAUGUUCUACUAAAGUUUUCACCACACCCACAUGAAACGAUCCAAGUGACGCACCACCACUUAAAAGCAAAGCGGUUCUACCAAACGCAUGCCGAGUUUCAUGCAUAAACGCGAGCUUCUCUUCUAAAAGAAGCUCGUCAGAAUCCGAAUCACAAACCAUUCUUAAUUGCAUUGAAACCUCAUCGAUAUACUCUUUAAUCAGCUUCGGGACUUGAUGCCUACCUUUAUGAAGCUCGGGAUUACACAUGUUUCCAAGAUUUCUAAUCAAAUCCGCACGCAUACAAAAAAUAAUAUCUCUAAGCGAACACUCUUGACGCCUAUGUCUAAGCUCCUGAAGUUUAUUCCUAACAAGUUCUACAUCGUAAAGAUCAUGCUC